This 214-nucleotide ribosomal RNA is filed under the name uncultured bacterium. RNAcentral's name for it is "partial 16S ribosomal RNA". It matches the Rfam family "Bacterial small subunit ribosomal RNA", at positions 30 to 239 of the family's 1533-position model. The record is from RNAcentral.
AUUGAACGCUGGCGGCAUGCCUUACACAUGCAAGUCGAACGGCAGCACGGGGGGCAACCCUGGUGGCGAGUGGCGAACGGGUGAGUAAUAUAUCGGAACGUGCCCUGGAGGUGGGGGAUAACUAGUACGAAAGAUUAGCUAAUACCGCAUACGAUCUACGGAUAGAAAGGUGGGGGACCGCAAGGCCUCAUGCUCGUGGAGCGGCCGAUAUCUG